Molecule: ribosomal RNA, 468 nt
Filed under: uncultured bacterium
Lineage: Bacteria
Description: partial 16S ribosomal RNA
Rfam family: Bacterial small subunit ribosomal RNA
Source: RNAcentral
GACGAACGCUGGCGGCGUGCUUAACACAUGCAAGUCGAACGGAAAGGCCCUGCUUUUGUGGGGUGCUCGGGUGGCGAACGGGUGAGUAACACGUGAGUAACCUGCCCUUGACUUUGGGAUAACUUCAGGAAACUGGGGCUAAUAUCGGAUAGGAGCUCCUGCUGCAUGGUGGGGGUUGGAAAGUUUCGGCGGUUGGGGAUGGACUCGCGGCUUAUCAGCUUGUUGGUGGGGUAGUGGCUUACCAAGGCUUUGACGGGUAGCCGGCCUGAGAGGGUGACCGGCCACAUUGGGACUGAGAUACGGCCCAGACUCCUACGGGAGGCAGCAGUGGGGAAUAUUGCACAAUGGGCGGAAGCCUGAUGCAGCAACGCCGCGUGCGGGAUGACGGCCUUCGGGUUGUAAACCGCUUUCGCCUGUGACGAAGCGUGAGUGACGGUAAUGGGUAAAGAAGCACCGGCUAACUACGUG